GUGACUCUGGAGAAGCUCGACGAUCGGGUGCCGAAGGUGCAAGACGGAAGCGGGGACGCUUCCGCCAAUCUCUCAGGCAAAAGGACAGAGACG
This 93-nucleotide non-coding RNA is filed under the name Lawsonibacter asaccharolyticus. RNAcentral describes it as "Glycine riboswitch". It matches the Rfam family "Glycine riboswitch aptamer", at positions 6 to 89 of the family's 94-position model. From Rfam's summary of the family: This family represents the bacterial glycine riboswitch. Glycine riboswitches usually consist of two metabolite-binding aptamers domains with similar structures in tandem. The aptamers cooperatively bind glycine to regulate the expression of downstream genes. The record is from RNAcentral. Lineage: Bacteria; Bacillati; Bacillota; Clostridia; Eubacteriales; Oscillospiraceae.